UUAUCUCUCUCACUCUCUCAUUAUCGUCUCUCUCUCUAAACCUAUCAAACAUUUUCCCCAUUUUGGUCUCUCUUGACGGCGAUGAUGACGGUGAUGGUGGAUUGGUGACGGGACAGUGAGUUAUGCGACGGUGGAUUGGUGACGACGACGGUGGCGGUGACAGUGAGUGUGUUUCCUAAGUAUUUCUCGUUUAGUUUAAAGAAUAGGAUAAACACAAGAUGUUUGUUGAGAAAGGUGUGUGCUUGUCAUUGCCAAUUGCUAGAACAAUUUCUUGUAAAGGUACAUUGGUGCAACACUAUGAUGAUUGGAGAUACUAAAUGGAAUGAGGUGGUUAGUAAAGAAAAUCAAUGGCAUCAAAAGAUAAUGUUAAUGGACGACGUAAGAAAAGUAAGAAAGGUACUGAUAAUCUUCCUGUAGGUCAAUAUACACCACCACCACCCGUUACGAUAACUCUUCAACCAGCUACUACAAAUCUUCCUCCUCCUUCUAGAUACACUACCAAAUGCAUUUUUUAUGCCCCCACCGUCUGACAAGUUCCAUACCUCUUCUUUCCAAAAUAGUUUGCAUAGUAGCUCUUCAUCUGUGCCUUCGAUAUCAUCCACACCAAGCUUUUCUGGAUUGAGAAUUGGAGGUCCUAACACAUCAACAUCACCAUUCAUUGAUAGUGAUACAGUGUCUAAUGCUACAGCACCUGCUUCUCAGAAUCUGCAAUUUAAAGAGGUAUUAGAAUAUGACAAGUUUGGGAGGCUACGAAUCAUCACUGGUGGUGAUGGGUUCAUUCUAGUAUAUGCCGACGGGCAUAUGGCUAUAGAAGAAAUUAAACCAUUUUUCAAAAAGCCGUGGAAUAGUUGGAACGAUAUUCCAUAUGUAAUUAGAAUUGUCACGUGAAAACAGUUUACGGUAUAAGCAGUCUUAUAAGCUAUGAAUCUCAUUGCCCAAAGAUAGUUUUUCCAUUGUAUCCAUCACCUUAUUUCAUGACUUUAUAUUAAACUAGUUUGUAGACAAAGUGUACAUGGAGUUAUUGUCAUGAUAAUGAAAUAGAUUGUAUUUUUUGAUUAAAAGCAGUUCUACGGAACAAAGAAUACUUGUAUGAGGCCCGGGGAAAAUUGCAACAACCUAGUUGGGUGAAUGAUGAAGUGUGGGCUAAGUUCUUGGAAUUAUGGGACACUCCUGAAUAUAAGGCGAAGAGGGAAUGGGGAAAGGAAAAUCGAGCCUCUGAAGUGGGUGGCUCAUUGCACACUAGAGGUUCAAUGAGUUUCGCUACCUACCGACGAAGACUGGUUAACUAGGAGGAAACAAUUAUUCCUUGUCAUUACAAUCUCUCACUGUAUAGCUACGAGCCCAGUUGCAUCAUGGAAAGUUUUUUUCUCUUGAAGCGGGAUCUUGCAUUAUAGAACUGCUAGAGGAGGCAAAGCUGAGAUACUUCUGCAGAUUGUUAUUGAAGUUUUUAUUGAAAUACUUAAAUGGGGAGUAGAUGUACCUCUUGCUAAGGUCUUCGAAGAGACGCAUAAGAAGAAAAAUUCAGACGGUACAAGAGAAGACGGGGUCGAACCACAUGCUAAGGAUACAUAUUAAGGAUUUCAAAAAGACAUAAGGAUUUCAAAAAGACAUAGAAGAUUGGUGUCAAAGCCAACCUGCUUCAAGGAUGGUACCAUGGUCCAACCAUCGUCUGCAGAUAUGACUAGAAUAUGGACAGCUGUGGUAGGUGGUUCAAAGAAAGGUAAAACCUAUGGGCUUGGAGUUCACCAAUCCCCGGGUGGUCCUUCCCCAAUGUUACUCGACUCCACUUCUAUUUAAUAAAAUACGAAAGAAAUGGAAGCAAUGAAAAAGCAAAUUAAAGAGUUGAUACAACAGUGUACGCGCAGUUAAUGAUGCCAAGUUUGAGGAGUUGGUCAAAAAGCACAUGCCUCAAGUAUUUAAUGAUGAGGAAGACAGUGAAUGAGAUGAGUAGAUUGUAGUUAUUGGUUCUUGCUUUUGAUUGUGACGUUUAGACUUAAAAGUUCUCUUGGAACGUUUAAACUAUUAAAAUUGGUAUUUGUUUUGGAUCGUGACGUUUCGACUUAAACUUGUCUUGAAAUGAUUAAACAAUUUGACUCGAUGUUUGUUUU
Capsicum annuum is the source of this 2108-nucleotide RNA transcript. RefSeq lists it as uncharacterized. The transcript has 8 exons. NCBI's taxonomy places the organism in Eukaryota, Viridiplantae, Streptophyta, Magnoliopsida, Solanales, Solanaceae. The record is from RefSeq and is a predicted model, not a curated record.